GGGGCAACCUGGCGGCGAGUGGCGAACGGGUGAGUAAUAUAUCGGAACGUACCCUGGAGUGGGGGAUAACGUAGCGAAAGUUACGCUAAUACCGCAUACGAUCUAAGGAUGAAAGUGGGGGAUCGCAAGACCUCAUGCUCCUGGAGCGGCCGAUAUCUGAUUAGCUAGUUGGUAGGGUAAAAGCCUACCAAGGCAUCGAUCAGUAGCUGGUCUGAGAGGACGACCAGCCACACUGGAACUGAGACACGGUCCAGACUCCUACGGGAGGCAGCAGUGGGGAAUUUUGGACAAUGGGCGAAAGCCUGAUCCAGCAAUGCCGCGUGAGUGAAGAAGGCCUUCGGGUUGUAAAGCUCUUUUGUCAGGGAAGAAACGGUGAGGGCUAAUAUCCCUUGCUAAUGACGGUACCUGAAGAAUAAGCACCGGCUAACUACGUGCCAGCAGCCGCGGUAAUACGUAGGGUGCAAGCGUUAAUCGGAAUUACUGGGCGUAAAGCGUGCGCAGGCGGUUUUGUAAGUCUGUCGUGAAAUCCCCGGGCUCAACCUGGGAAUGGCGAUGGAGACUGCAAGGCUGGAGUUUGGCAGAGGGGGGUAG
This 591-nucleotide ribosomal RNA is filed under the name uncultured soil bacterium. RNAcentral describes it as "bacterial SSU rRNA". It matches the Rfam family "Bacterial small subunit ribosomal RNA", at positions 76 to 664 of the family's 1533-position model. The record is from RNAcentral.